UACGUAGGGGGCGAGCGUUGUCCGGAGUUACUGGGCGUAAAGCGCUUGUAGGCGGUCCACCAAGUUUGGGGUGACAGUUGCCGACUUAAUCGGCAAAGUGCCUCAAAGACUGGCGGACUUGAGGGCCACAGAGGGACAUGGAACUCCAGGUGUAGUGGUGAAAUGCGUAGAGAUCUGGAAGAACACCAAAGGCGAAGGCAGCAUCCUGGGAAGUUCCUGACGCUCGGGUGCGAAAGCCAGGGGAGCGAACGGG
This 253-nucleotide ribosomal RNA is filed under the name uncultured bacterium. RNAcentral's name for it is "partial 16S ribosomal RNA". It matches the Rfam family "Bacterial small subunit ribosomal RNA", at positions 524 to 776 of the family's 1533-position model. The record is from RNAcentral.